RNAcentral lists this transfer RNA (67 nucleotides) under Dipodomys ordii (Ord's kangaroo rat). It matches the Rfam family "tRNA". Rfam says of the family: Transfer RNA (tRNA) molecules are approximately 80 nucleotides in length. Their secondary structure includes four short double-helical elements and three loops (D, anti-codon, and T loops). Further hydrogen bonds mediate the characteristic L-shaped molecular structure. tRNAs have two regions of fundamental functional importance: the anti-codon, which is responsible for specific mRNA codon recognition, and the 3' end, to which the tRNAs corresponding amino acid is attached (by aminoacyl-tRNA synthetases). tRNAs cope with the degeneracy of the genetic code in two manners: having more than one tRNA (with a specific anti-codon) for a particular amino acid; and 'wobble' base-pairing, i.e. permitting non-standard base-pairing at the 3rd anti-codon position. The record is from Rfam by way of RNAcentral. Lineage: Eukaryota; Metazoa; Chordata; Mammalia; Rodentia; Heteromyidae.
GCUGAGGUGGCUCAGUGGUAGAGCACUUGUCUUGCAUGCACAAGGCCCUGGGUUCUAUUCCUCAGCA